RNAcentral lists this ribosomal RNA (595 nucleotides) under uncultured bacterium. RNAcentral describes it as "bacterial SSU rRNA". It matches the Rfam family "Bacterial small subunit ribosomal RNA", at positions 292 to 903 of the family's 1533-position model. The record is from RNAcentral.
CUGAGAGGGCGCACGGACACACUGGAACUGAAACACGGUCCAGACUCCUACGGGAGGCAGCAGUGGGGAAUUUUGCGCAAUGGGGGAAACCCUGACGCAGCAACGCCGCGUGGAGGAUGAAGUACUUCGGUACGUAAACUCCUUUCGAUCGGGACGAUAAUGACGGUACCGGAAGAAGAAGCCCCGGCUAACUUCGUGCCAGCAGCCGCGGUAAUACGAGGGGGGCAAGCGUUGUUCGGAAUUAUUGGGCGUAAAGGGUGCGUAGGCGGUUUGGUAAGUCUUGUGUGAAAUCUCCGGGCUCAACUCGGAGUCUGCAUAGGAAACUGCCGGGCUUGAGUGUGGGAGAGGUGAGUGGAAUUUCCGGUGUAGCGGUGAAAUGCGUAGAUAUCGGAAGGAACACCUGUGGCGAAAGCGGCUCACUGGACCACAACUGACGCUGAUGCACGAAAGCUAGGGGAGCAAACAGGAUUAGAUACCCUGGUAGUCCUAGCCCUAAACGAUGACUGCUUGGUGUGACGGGUACCCAAUCCCGCCGUGCCGUAGCUAACGCGUUAAGCAGUCCGCCUGGGGAGUACGGUCGCAAGGCUGAAACUCA